RNAcentral lists this long non-coding RNA (393 nucleotides) under Oryza brachyantha (malo sina). RNAcentral describes it as "long non-coding RNA (OBRA_LNC003194)". Lineage: Eukaryota; Viridiplantae; Streptophyta; Magnoliopsida; Poales; Poaceae. The record is from RNAcentral.
ACCCAUCGACUACACCGUGGACGCCGUCCUAUCCUCUAAGCCGUUGGCAUCGAUCUCAACCUGAGUGCACCUCCUGGCCUGGCCUGGCCAACUCUGUAUUUAGGGCCUCACACGUUCUAGAUCAUGGUCACCAUUUCAUCUUCUUGCUCACACGUUGCUAGAGAAAUCUCCUCAUCUGGAACACUGAGCAAUGUAGAGAAUAUGUCGCUGGUGUCGCGUUGGACUAUCCAAUGCUAGUAUUUGAUGUGCUAAAUUGUUCAUGAUGCUUACCAUGCCUAAUUAUAUAAUGGUGGGAAUGAUUUUCAGGAGCCAUACAGAAUCCAAUUUGUGAAAAAUACUUGAGAAAGGGAUGACAAAGUCCAGCCAUGUGUUAUCGAUCACUCAUUGUAAUGC